AAAGUGCCAUCGUUGUAUGUGAUACCUUACGCUCAACAAACUCUAUAAAAAAUGAAAGGCUUGCUGUUAUGCGUUCUCAUCGUUUUUCUGGUUGUUCUAUGGCACGGAUGCGAAAGCAAAAGGAGAAUGCCCAAAGGCUAUAAGGAAUGCCUACAGCCAAAACACAGACGAAGGCGUGAAA
Rhipicephalus microplus (southern cattle tick) is the source of this 181-nucleotide long non-coding RNA. NCBI's taxonomy places the organism in Eukaryota, Metazoa, Arthropoda, Arachnida, Ixodida, Ixodidae. The record is from RefSeq and is a predicted model, not a curated record.